This 491-nucleotide ribosomal RNA is filed under the name uncultured bacterium. RNAcentral's name for it is "bacterial SSU rRNA". It matches the Rfam family "Bacterial small subunit ribosomal RNA", at positions 28 to 507 of the family's 1533-position model. The record is from RNAcentral.
GAUGAACGCUAGCUACAGGCUUAACACAUGCAAGUCGAGGGGAAACGAUAGAGAAAGCUUGCUUUUUCUAGGCGUCGACCGGCGCACGGGUGAGUAACGCGUAUCCAACCUGCCCAUCACUUGGGGAUAACCUUGCGAAAGUAAGACUAAUACCCAAUGACGUCUCUAGAAGACAUCUGAAAGAGAUUAAAGAUUUAUCGGUGAUGGAUGGGGAUGCGUCUGAUUAGCUUGUUGGCGGGGUAACGGCCCACCAAGGCGACGAUCAGUAGGGGUUCUGAGAGGAAGGUCCCCCACAUUGGAACUGAGACACGGUCCAAACUCCUACGGGAGGCAGCAGUGAGGAAUAUUGGUCAAUGGACGAGAGUCUGAACCAGCCAAGUAGCGUGAAGGAUGAAGGUCCUACGGAUUGUAAACUUCUUUUAUAAGGGAAUAAAACCUCCCACGUGUGGGAUUUUGAUGUACCGUAUGAAUAAGCAUCGGCUAACUCCGUG